UGAAGGUGGCCUGUGAGGGUUGCUGGAGGUAUCAGAAGUGCGAAUGCUGACAUAAGUAACGAUAAAGCGGGUGAAAAGCCCGCUCGCCGGAAGACCAAGGGUUCCUGUCCAACGUUAAUCGGGGCAGGGUGAGUCGACCCCUAAGGCGAGGCCGAAAGGCGUAGUCGAUGGGAAACGGGUUAAUAUUCCCGUACUUGGUGUUACUGCGAAGGGGGGACGGAGAAGGCUAUGUUGGCCGGGCGACGGUUGUCCCGGUUUAAGCGUGUAGGUGUGUGUUCCAGGUAAAUCCGGUUCACUUUAACACUGAGGCGUGACGACGAGGCACUACGGUGCUGAAGUAACAAAUGCCCUGCUUCCAGGAAAAGCCUCUAAGCAUCAGGUAACAUCAAAUCGUACCCCAAACCGACACAGGUGGUCAGGUAGAGAAUACCAAGGCGCUUGAGAGAACUCGGGUGAAGGAACUAGGCAAAAUGGUGCCGUAACUUCGGGAGAAGGCACGCUGAUAUGUAGGUGAAGUGAUUUACUCACGGAGCUGAAAUCAGUCGAAGAUACCAGCUGGCUGCAACUGUUUAUUAAAAACACAGCACUGUGCAAACACGAAAGUGGACGUAUACGGUGUGACGCCUGCCCGGUGCCGGAAGGUUAAUUGAUGGGGUCAGCGCAAGCGAAGCUCCUGAUCGAAGCCCCGGUAAACGGCGGCCGUAACUAUAACGGUCCUAAGGUAGCGAAAUUCCUUGUCGGGUAAGUUCCGACCUGCACGAAUGGCGUAAUGAUGGCCAGGCUGUCUCCACCCGAGACUCAGUGAAAUUGAACUCGCUGUGAAGAUGCAGUGUACCCGCGGCAAGACGGAAAGACCCCGUGAACCUUUACUAUAGCUUGACACUGAACAUUGAGCCUUGAUGUGUAGGAUAGGUGGGAGGCUUUGAAGCGUGGACGCCAGUCUGCGUGGAGCCAACCUUGAAAUACCACCCUUUAAUGUUUGAUGUUCUAACGUGGACCCGUUACCCGGGUUGCGGACAGUGUCUGGUGGGUAGUUUGACUGGGGCGGUCUCCUCCUAAAGAGUAACGGAGGAGCACGAAGGUUGGCUAAUCCUGGUCGGACAUCAGGAGGUUAGUGCAAUGGCAUAAGCCAGCUUGACUGCGAGCGUGACGGCGCGAGCAGGUGCGAAAGCAGGUCAUAGUGAUCCGGUGGUUCUGAAUGGAAGGGCCAUCGCUCAACGGAUAAAAGGUACUCCGGGGAUAACAGGCUGAUACCGCCCAAGAGUUCAUAUCGACGGCGGUGUUUGGCACCUCGAUGUCGGCUCAUCACAUCCUGGGGCUGAAGUAGGUCCCAAGGGUAUGGCUGUUCGCCAUUUAAAGUGGUACGCGAGCUGGGUUUAGAACGUCGUGAGACAGUUCGGUCCCUAUCUGCCGUGGGCGCUGGAGAACUGAGGGGGGCUGCUCCUAGUACGAGAGGACCGGAGUGGACGCAUCACUGGUGUUCGGGUUGUCAUGCCAAUGGCACUGCCCGGUAGCUAAAUGCGGAAGAGAUAAGUGCUGAAAGCAUCUAAGCACGAAACUUGCCCCGAGAUGAGUUCUCCCUGAGACUUAGAGUCUCCUGAAGGAACGUUGAAGACGACGACGUUGAUAGGCCGGGUGUGUAAGCGCAGCGAUGCGUUGAGCUAACCGGUACUAAUGAACCGUGAGGCUUAACCUUACAACGCCGAAG
RNAcentral lists this ribosomal RNA (1708 nucleotides) under Salmonella enterica subsp. enterica serovar Plymouth. RNAcentral's name for it is "bacterial LSU rRNA". It matches the Rfam family "Bacterial large subunit ribosomal RNA", at positions 1251 to 2925 of the family's 2925-position model. The record is from RNAcentral. Lineage: Bacteria; Pseudomonadati; Pseudomonadota; Gammaproteobacteria; Enterobacterales; Enterobacteriaceae.